This is a long non-coding RNA of Solenopsis invicta (red fire ant), 846 nucleotides long. RefSeq lists it as uncharacterized. Lineage: Eukaryota; Metazoa; Arthropoda; Insecta; Hymenoptera; Formicidae. The record is from RefSeq and is a predicted model, not a curated record. The transcript is spliced from 3 exons.
GUUAAGGUAGUUAAGGUUAGCACGCCAAUCGCGUGAGCGACGGCAGUUGUUCCAUUCAUUCGCAUUUUGGGAAUACGACGCGCAUCACGUGGCGGCCGAUGUUAAUACAUACAUACGCGACAAGCGCGGCCUGCACCGCACGCGUGACACAUAACAUGAGUGGGAGUGACGGCAAUCGAUUCUGUGUGACUGACGUUACAUCGCCAUGGUGACACGCGAAAACAAAUAUGUGCGAUCGCACAGACACGCUGACCCACAGUAAGCCGCACGAGUUCAGUGUGUCACGUAUACAACGGAAAACCGAGAGCUCCAUCCUUCGACCUGCACGAAGAAAGUGACGAAAGCUCUCGCUAACGACGAAUUCGCAGGUACUCGAGGUCGCUCGUUAAGCGGUAAUCUGGCACGCCUCCAGAUUAAAUUUGCCAUCCCCUCCCCACCCCCCAAAAAAAAACUCUCAAUUAAAACUUUGUAAUUAUUCAUAGAAAUUUUUUCGCCAGAGUAAACUACUUAGAAUAUUGUAGUUUGUAUACCAAGAAAUUUUGUAGAAAUCAUACAACAAAAGUACAAUUUACAAAAAUUUAGUAAAGUGUUCCAAUACUAGCAUUUUCAUGAAUAGUAUAGUCGCAACUACGGUUGCUAGAGAAUCCGAGAUUUCAUUCAACGAGAUAAAAGUAAAAAUUAUGUAAGAUAAAUGAUCAAUAAAGCAUGUCGUAAAAUAAUUAUGUAAUUAUAACGAGACAAAUUUAUUGAUUCCAUCUUGUAAUUGAAUCUCACCACCGAUGGUACAUUAUAUAUGUAUGUUCACUACGCUGUCACUAGAUUAAUAAAUAUUAAUUAUUAUUAUUA